Molecule: non-coding RNA, 656 nt
Organism: Candidatus Peribacteria bacterium
Lineage: Bacteria; Candidatus Peregrinibacteriota; Candidatus Peribacteria
Source: Rfam
UUUUUGAAGAGUUUGAUCCUAGCUCAGAGUGAACGCUAGCGGUGCGCCUAACACAUGCAAGUCGAGUGGGUUUAGACCCACGGCAGACGGCUGAGUAACACGUUGGUACCUACCCCGAACUCAGGGAUAACCCCGCGAAAGCGGGACUAAUACCGGAUGGUCCCCGCACCUUUUUGUCCUUUGUUACAAUGAAUUCAUGCACUUCGUCUAUCUUCUAUACAGCGAAUCUUCCGAUCGAUUCUAUGUCGGCUCAACGAGUGAUCUUGGGCAGAGAUUACAAUCUCAUAACGACAAGAGGAACAAGUCCACAGUUUAUGGUGCGCCAUGGAAAUUGGUGUACUACGAAGCAUAUGGGAAUCGAUUGGCAGCCCUCGAUCGUGAACGUAAAUUAAAGAAUCACGGAAAAGGUAUUGCUGAAUUGAAGAAGCGAAUUGCAAUCAGAGAGCAAAAAGGUGCGGGGUAAAGAUUUUUCGGUUCGGGAGGGGCCUGCGGCCUAUCAGAUAGUUGGUGAGGUAAUGGCUUACCAAGUCGAUGACGGGUAGCUGGUUUGAGAGAACGACCAGCCAGAAUGGAACUGAGACACGGUCCAUACUCCUACGGGAGGCAGCAGUGAGGAAUCUUCCGCAAUGGGCGAAAGCCUGACGGAGCGACACCGC